GAUGAACGCUGGCGGCGUGCCUUACACAUGCAAGUCGAGCGAACAGAUAAGUACUUUGCUCUUUUGACGUUUGCGGCGCACGUGUGAGUUACAUGUGGGCAUCUCCUCUAUUAGACUGUAACACCUCCGGAACCCCAUUGCUGCUGCCUGCUAACUUUUAGUAACACCUGGUUCUCUUGUGAACGCUCGCUUUGCUAUUACUUAUUGACUGAUUCGCGGCGUAUUAGCUAGUUGGCCUGGUAAAGGCCUACCAAGGCGACGAUCAGUAGCCGACCUGAGAGGAUGAUCAGCCACACUGGAACUGAGACACGGUCCAGACUCCUACGGGAGGCAGCAGUGGGGAAUCUUGGACAAUGGGCGAAAGCCUGACGGAGCAACGCCGCGUGAGUGAAGAAGGUCUUCGGAUCGUAAAGCACUGUUGUUAGGAAAGAACAAAUGGGUAAGAAAAUAGGCGGGGGAUGACGGUACCGGAACAAAAAGCAACGGCUAACUACGUG
Molecule: ribosomal RNA, 497 nt
Filed under: uncultured bacterium
Lineage: Bacteria
Description: partial 16S ribosomal RNA
Rfam family: Bacterial small subunit ribosomal RNA
Source: RNAcentral